Long non-coding RNA from Numida meleagris (helmeted guineafowl), 817 nucleotides. RefSeq lists it as uncharacterized. The transcript is spliced from 5 exons. The record is from RefSeq and is a predicted model, not a curated record. Lineage: Eukaryota; Metazoa; Chordata; Aves; Galliformes; Numididae.
AAAAAGAACUGAGAGGGGAGAGAGGAAAAAAAAAAAAAAAGACAACUUUUUGAGCCUGGAGUUAAAAACCGAGCUGUCCCUGCUCCUCCCUUGCUGCGGCGCUGGGGAUGCCGUUGACACCAGUGCAGAGCGUGGCUUCCCCUUGCUGUGAUGCUCCACUCGUUUCCUGGCCACCCAAAGGCGGGGCUUGAGUCCUGGUGGAAGUUCAUGGGGAAUUUCCUGGAGCGGGAGCUGGAGAGGAAAACCCACCCCACAACCACAGCAGAGCCAGGACAUGGGGAGCUGCCUGCACGACCCAUCUCGGGGACGUAGUCACUACGUGUGCCUUCCUCCAUCCUCCUCCUCCCAGCAGCUGCCGGCCUGGAGCAACGCAGAGCAAGCCUGGCAUUGGGCUGUAGGAACACCAGGAGCACCCUGGGGACAGGACACAGCGCCAAGCCACACUGGUGGAGAACACGAAGCUGGAAGAGGAUGGGGGGAAGAAAAAUGAACAGAAGAAGAAGAAAAGGAAGGAAACAAAAGUCUCCAAACUCAGGAAAUCUGUGUUAAUUGCUUACGAAUGCCUCUGUCUAAAAAAUUAUCGAAUUGAUGUUGUCGCGCUUUUUUUUGACAGCCUGUCUGUUAUAUAUAUAUAUUUUUAAAUAUUCAUGCACCGAAAUCUAAUUACUAGGCAAAUUUAAUGAUAAUGAAAUGAAGGCACUUUAGCAGAAAGCACUGGGCCUUGUUAAUAUUUUCUCAGCCUCUGUCUUGCUCGUAUUUUUAAAGUAUUCUUUUUUUCCCAACCACCUUUCUUGCAGUAAAAAUAAAGAAAUAAGAA